RNAcentral lists this unclassified non-coding RNA (251 nucleotides) under Hevea brasiliensis (rubber tree). Lineage: Eukaryota; Viridiplantae; Streptophyta; Magnoliopsida; Malpighiales; Euphorbiaceae. The record is from RNAcentral.
GAAAAGUGUCGGCUACAAAUCCACCAAGUAAAGUUAACAUAAAUGAAGUCCCAAGAAAAUUUGUAACGUUGUUGGCUGAACUUGCAUUUCCUAAAUGCAUUGUUCCAGUCAAAUAUGUCACAAGGUUUACAGCUAUACCUAGUGUUGUUAGCCUCUCCACCGCCUCAAUCCCUAAUAUCAUCGCGGCGCUAGACCAACCGCCGGACGAGGAACGAAGAGCUGGUCGACCUUUGUAAUCCCAAGCAUCUGGG